This 793-nucleotide ribosomal RNA is filed under the name fungal sp. MS228. Its description in RNAcentral is "eukaryotic LSU rRNA". The stretch from base 523 to 793 matches the Rfam family "Eukaryotic large subunit ribosomal RNA", at positions 1 to 265 of the family's 3401-position model. The record is from RNAcentral. Lineage: Eukaryota; Fungi.
UGUCUGCUGGCUCGCAAGGGCAUGUGCACGCCUGUCUCAUCCACUCUCAACUUCUGUGCACUUUUCAUAGGCCGGCUUGUGGGUGCGUUCGCGCACUUGUAGGUGUCGGGCUUAUGCUUUACUACAAACGAUUCAGUUUUAGAAUGUCAUACUUUGCUAUAACGCAAUUUAUAUACAACUUUCAGCAACGGAUCUCUUGGCUCUCGCAUCGAUGAAGAACGCAGCGAAAUGCGAUAAGUAAUGUGAAUUGCAGAAUUCAGUGAAUCAUCGAAUCUUUGAACGCACCUUGCGCUCCUUGGUAUUCCGAGGAGCAUGCCUGUUUGAGUCUCAUGGAAUUCUCAACCUUCGGCUUCAUUGACGAAGGCUUGGACUUGGAGGUCGUGCCGGCUCUCGUAGUCGGCUCCUCUGAAAUGCAUUAGUGCGAACGUUACCAGCCGCUUCAGCGUGAUAAUUAUCUGCGUUGCUGUGGAGGGUAUCUUAGUGUUCACGCUUCCAACCGUCUUCGGACAAAUUUCUGAACUCUGAGCUCAAAUCAGGUAGGACUACCCGCUGAACUUAAGCAUAUCAAUAAGCGGAGGAAAAGAAACUAACAAGGAUUCCCCUAGUAACUGCGAGUGAAGCGGGAAAAGCUCAAAUUUAAAAUCUGGCGGUCUUCGGNCGUCCGAGUUGUAAUCUGGAGAAGCGUUUUCCGCGCCGGACCGUGUACAAGUCUCUUGGAACAGAGCGUCAUAGAGGGUGAGAAUCCCGUCUUUGACACGGACUACCGGUGCUAUGUGAUGCGCUCUCGAUGAGU